AGAGUUUGAUCCUGGCUCAGGACGAACGCUGGCGGCGUGCCUAAUACAUGCAAGUAGAACGCUGAAGAGAGGAGCUUGCUCUUCUUGGAUGAGUUGCGAACGGGUGAGUAACGCGUAGGUAACCUGCCUUGUAGCGGGGGAUAACUAUUGGAAACGAUAGCUAAUACCGCAUAACAAUGGAUGACACAUGUCAUUUAUUUGAAAGGGGCAAUUGCUCCACUACAAGAUGGACCUGCGUUGUAUUAGCUAGUAGGUGAGGUAAUGGCUCACCUAGGCGACGAUACAUAGCCGACCUGAGAGGGUGAUCGGCCACACUGGGACUGAGACACGGCCCAGACUCCUACGGGAGGCAGCAGUAGGGAAUCUUCGGCAAUGGGGGCAACCCUGACCGAGCAACGCCGCGUGAGUGAAGAAGGUUUUCGGAUCGUAAAGCUCUGUUGUAAGUCAAGAACGGGUGUGAGAGUGGAAAGUUCACACUGUGACGGUAGCUUACCAGAAAGGGACGGCUAACUACGUGCCAGCAGCCGCGGUAAUACGUAGGUCCCGAGCGUUGUCCGGAUUUAUUGGGCGUAAAGCGAGCGCAGGCGGUUUGAUAAGUCUGAAGUUAAAGGCUGUGGCUCAACCAUAGUUCGCUUUGGAAACUGUCAAACUUGAGUGCAGAAGGGGAGAGUGGAAUUCCAUGUGUAGCGGUGAAAUGCGUAGAUAUAUGGAGGAACACCGGUGGCGAAAGCGGCUCUCUGGUCUGUAACUGACGCUGAGGCUCGAAAGCGUNNNNNNNNNGCCGCGGUAAUACGUAGGUCCCGAGCGUUGUCCGGAUUUAUUGGGCGUAAAGCGAGCGCAGGCGGUUUGAUAAGUCUGAAGUUAAAGGCUGUGGCUCAACCAUAGUUCGCUUUGGAAACUGUCAAACUUGAGUGCAGAAGGGGAGAGUGGAAUUCCAUGUGUAGCGGUGAAAUGCGUAGAUAUAUGGAGGAACACCGGUGGCGAAAGCGGCUCUCUGGUCUGUAACUGACGCUGAGGCUCGAAAGCGUGGGGAGCGAACAGGAUUAGAUACCCUGGUAGUCCACGCCGUAAACGAUGAGUGCUAGGUGUUGGAUCCUUUCCGGGAUUCAGUGCCGCAGCUAACGCAUUAAGCACUCCGCCUGGGGAGUACGACCGCAAGGUUGAAACUCAAAGGAAUUGACGGGGGCCCGCACAAGCGGUGGAGCAUGUGGUUUAAUUCGAAGCAACGCGAAGAACCUUACCAGGUCUUGACAUCCCGAUGCUAUUUCUAGAGAUAGAAAGUUACUUCGGUACAUCGGUGACAGGUGGUGCAUGGUUGUCGUCAGCUCGUGUCGUGAGAUGUUGGGUUAAGUCCCGCAACGAGCGCAACCCCUAUUGUUAGUUGCCAUCAUUCAGUUGGGCACUCUAGCGAGACUGCCGGUAAUAAACCGGAGGAAGGUGGGGAUGACGUCAAAUCAUCAUGCCCCUUAUGACCUGGGCUACACACGUGCUACAAUGGUUGGUACAACGAGUUGCGAGUCGGUGACGGCGAGCUAAUCUCUUAAAGCCAAUCUCAGUUCGGAUUGUAGGCUGCAACUCGCCUACAUGAAGUCGGAAUCGCUAGUAAUCGCGGAUCAGCACGCCGCGGUGAAUACGUUCCCGGGCCUUGUACACACCGCCCGUCACACCACGAGAGUUUGUAACACCCGAAGUCGGUGAGGUAACCUUUUGGAGCCAGCCGCCUAAGGUGGGACAGAUGAUUGGGGUGAAGUCGUAACAAGGUAGCCGUAUCGGAAGGUGCGGCUG
This 1785-nucleotide ribosomal RNA is filed under the name Streptococcus thermophilus TH1435. RNAcentral's name for it is "bacterial SSU rRNA". It matches the Rfam family "Bacterial small subunit ribosomal RNA". Lineage: Bacteria; Bacillati; Bacillota; Bacilli; Lactobacillales; Streptococcaceae. The record is from RNAcentral.